Molecule: ribosomal RNA, 253 nt
Filed under: uncultured bacterium
Lineage: Bacteria
Description: partial 16S ribosomal RNA
Rfam family: Bacterial small subunit ribosomal RNA
Source: RNAcentral
UACAGAGGUCUCAAGCGUUGUUCGGAUUCAUUGGGCGUAAAGGGUGCGUAGGCGGCGCGGUAAGUCGGGUGUGAAAUCCCGGGGCUCAACCCCGGAACUGCAUUCGAUACUGCCUUGCUAGAGUGCUGGAGAGGAGAUUGGAAUUUACGGUGUAGCAGUGAAAUGCGUAGAUAUCGUAAGGAAGACCAGUGGCGAAGGCGGAUCUCUGGACAGCUACUGACACUGAGGCACGAAGGCCAGGGGAGCAAACGGG